UUUUAUGAGAGUUUGAUCCUGGCUCAGGACGAACGCUGGCGGCGUGCCUAAUACAUGCAAGUCGAACGCUUCUUUUUCCACCGGAGCUUGCUCCACCGGAAAAAGAGGAGUGGCGAACGGGUGAGUAACACGUGGGUAACCUGCCCAUCAGAAGGGGAUAACACUUGGAAACAGGUGCUAAUACCGUAUAACAAUCGAAACCGCAUGGUUUUGAUUUGAAAGGCGCUUUCGGGUGUCGCUGAUGGAUGGACCCGCGGUGCAUUAGCUAGUUGGUGAGGUAACGGCU
This 286-nucleotide ribosomal RNA is filed under the name Enterococcus faecium. RNAcentral's name for it is "partial 16S ribosomal RNA". It matches the Rfam family "Bacterial small subunit ribosomal RNA", at positions 1 to 265 of the family's 1533-position model. The record is from RNAcentral. Lineage: Bacteria; Bacillati; Bacillota; Bacilli; Lactobacillales; Enterococcaceae. RNAcentral also lists the same sequence under 1 other name.